AAACUAUUAAUUCAAUUCCAUCAGAUAAAAUGACAUGUAUAUCCCAAAAAAUCCAAAACAGGGAGGCCAACACCCCCGCAAGCAUCCUCAAAAUUAACUUAUUUAUCCAGAGAAUAUGCCCAACAUGCUAGGCUUUUGCAUUGCAUAGUUGCUGAACAAAAAUUAUGCAAAACUAAUGUGAAUUUAUAAGUUUACGUCAAUCGACUACUUCAAUCAGGGUAGGCUCAU
This 228-nucleotide unclassified non-coding RNA is filed under the name Hevea brasiliensis (rubber tree). Lineage: Eukaryota; Viridiplantae; Streptophyta; Magnoliopsida; Malpighiales; Euphorbiaceae. The record is from RNAcentral.